This 467-nucleotide ribosomal RNA is filed under the name uncultured bacterium. Its description in RNAcentral is "partial 16S ribosomal RNA". It matches the Rfam family "Bacterial small subunit ribosomal RNA", at positions 28 to 507 of the family's 1533-position model. The record is from RNAcentral.
GAUGAACGCUGGCGGCGCGCCUAACACAUGCAAGUCGAACGAUAAAAGCACAUUCGGGUGUGUAUAAAGGGGCGAACGGCUGAGUAACACGUGGGCAACGUGCCCCUCGCAUUGGGUUAGCCACGGGAAACCGUGGAUAAUACCGAAUACUUCGGGACUUCCGCAUGGAUGACUCGAGAAAGCUCCGGCGGAGAGGGAUGGGCCCGCGGCCUGUUAGCUUGUUGGUGGGGUAAUGGCCUACCAAGGCAAUGAUGGGUAGCUGGGUUGAGAGACCGACCAGCCAGAUUGGGACUGAGACACGGCCCACACUACUACGGGAGGCAGCGGUGGAGAGUUUUACACUGUGGGAGAAUGCCUGAUGCGGAGAAGCGGCGUGCGGUAUGAAGGAAACCGACUUGUAAACCGCUUUCAGCUGAGACGAUGCGAGAGUGACGGUACCAACAGAAGAAGCCCCGGCUAACUACGUG